GGGACGUGAUCAGAGCCGGGUUCCUGAAGGAUGGCUUCUCUGUUUCCAACACAUCCACCAGGAACUUGGUACUUCUCACAGGUGGCAGGAUGCUAUGACCUUCCUGUGACAUUAUGCCCUAUACAU
Small nucleolar RNA from Pteropus vampyrus (large flying fox), 126 nucleotides. The record is from Ensembl. NCBI's taxonomy places the organism in Eukaryota, Metazoa, Chordata, Mammalia, Chiroptera, Pteropodidae.